AUACAUGCAAGUCGAGCGAACAGAUGAGGAGCUUGCUCCUCUGACGUUAGCGGCGGACGGGUGAGUAACACGUGGGUAACCUACCUAUAAGACUGGAAUAACUCCGGGAAACCGGGGCUAAUGCCGGAUAAUAUGCGGAACCGCAUGGUUCUGCAAUGAAAGACGGUCUUGCUGUCACUUAUAGAUGGACCCGCGCCGUAUUAGCUAGUUGGUAAGGUAACGGCUUACCAAGGCAACGAUACGUAGCCGACCUGAGAGGGUGAUCGGCCACACUGGAACUGAGACACGGUCCAGACUCCUACGGGAGGCAGCAGUAGGGAAUCUUCCGCAAUGGGCGAAAGCCUGACGGAGCAACGCCGCGUGAGUGAUGAAGGUCUUCGGAUCGUAAAACUCUGUUAUUAGGGAAGAACAAGUGCGUAGGUAACUAUGCGCACCUUGACGGUACCUAAUCAGAAAGCCACGGCUAACUACGUGCCAGCAGCCGCGGUAAUACGUAGGUGGCAAGCGUUAUCCGGAAUUAUUGGGCGUAAAGCGCGCGUAGGCGGUUUUUUAAGUCUGAUGUGAAAGCCCACGGCUCAACCGUGGAGGGUCAUUGGAAACUGGAAAACUUGAGUGCAGAAGAGGAAAGUGGAAUUCCAUGUGUAGCGGUGAAAUGCGCAGAGAUAUGGAGGAACACCAGUGGCGAAGGCGACUUUCUGGUCUGCAACUGACGCUGAUGUGCGAAAGCGUGGGGAUCAAACAGGAUUAGAUACCCUGGUAGUCCACGCCGUAAACGAUGAGUGCUAAGUGUUAGGGGGUUUCCGCCCCUUAGUGCUGCAGCUAACGCAUUAAGCACUCCGCCUGGG
RNAcentral lists this ribosomal RNA (845 nucleotides) under Staphylococcus condimenti. Its description in RNAcentral is "bacterial SSU rRNA". It matches the Rfam family "Bacterial small subunit ribosomal RNA", at positions 51 to 877 of the family's 1533-position model. The record is from RNAcentral. Lineage: Bacteria; Bacillati; Bacillota; Bacilli; Caryophanales; Staphylococcaceae.